CAGCAGGACCAGGGGCGCGAGCACGUCCAGGAGGCGCCGCCGCCGCGGCCAUGGCCAGGGGCACCUGCGCGGGACAGGCACGGGGCCAGCAUCCUGAGCCCCACCUGCAGGCCCUGGGCGCUUUCCUCCUGGCAGCUGUGCCCCCACCCGACCGGACCGCUCCCUGCAACCAGAGAGCCCUCACACCAGCAACACCCCCCAGCCUGCUCCCUCCUCGUGUGCGCGAAACUCAUGGCACUGGCUUGACGGCUUUCUCUGAAACCCUCUGAUUCCGCCUGGCCCAUCCACACUGUCCCUUCCCGGCCAGGGCUCAUCUCCUAUGCCUGGACCAAACAGCGUAGUCUCCAGUCUCCCUGAUCUCCCCACACGUGGCCCCACCCAUCCUCUGAAGCAGCCCCAGGAGGCAGCAGUGACUUCACACUUCUAGUGCCCGGCCCUCCCGGCCCUCCUCUCUGGGCUUGCUUGCCAGGGUCCUCCCAACCUGACUGCUGCCUCCCACCUCCUCUCCGCCCCUGGAGCUCUCCAGCCGCAGCCGCGGGGCCUGCUUGGGAUUCUCCUCUGCUGGCAUCAUCCCUGCCUGCCUCAGCCUUCCCAGGCCCAAUCCUGCCCGAUCUCACCUCUUCCCGCCCAGCCACCUGGUCGGGUCCCGACCAGCAUCUGCCUUCAAACCUGGAGUCCUUCCCUGAGUGCUUGCGGUGCACUGUGAGGAAGGAAAUCAAUGUAAAGGAUUAUGACCCACAUUUUUUAAAAAUAAAAAGAUUAAGGAGAACAGCA
RNAcentral lists this long non-coding RNA (774 nucleotides) under Homo sapiens (human). RNAcentral describes it as "HSALNT0404655". The record is from RNAcentral. Lineage: Eukaryota; Metazoa; Chordata; Mammalia; Primates; Hominidae.